RNAcentral lists this ribosomal RNA (253 nucleotides) under uncultured bacterium. RNAcentral describes it as "partial 16S ribosomal RNA". It matches the Rfam family "Bacterial small subunit ribosomal RNA", at positions 524 to 776 of the family's 1533-position model. The record is from RNAcentral.
UACAGAGGGUGCAAGCGUUAUUCGGAAUUACUGGGCGUAAAGCGUGCGUAGGUGGACAUCUAAGUCGAUUGUGAAAUCCCCGGGCUUAACCUGGGAACUGCAGUCGAGACUGGACGUCUAGAGUAUGGUAGAGGAAAGUAGAAUUCCCGGUGUAGCGGUGAAAUACGUAGAUAUCGGGAGGAAUACCAGUGGCGAAGGCGGCUUUCUGGACUAAUACUGACACUGAGGUACGAAAGCGUGGGGAGCAAACAGG